RNAcentral lists this ribosomal RNA (203 nucleotides) under uncultured bacterium. RNAcentral describes it as "partial 16S ribosomal RNA". It matches the Rfam family "Bacterial small subunit ribosomal RNA", at positions 524 to 724 of the family's 1533-position model. The record is from RNAcentral.
UACGUAGGGGGCAAGCGUUGUCCGGAUUUAUUGGGCGUAAAGAGCGUGUAGGCGGCCAAGCAGGUCCGCGUCUGUGAAAACUCGAGGCUCAACCUCGAGACGUCGGUGGAACCGUUGCGUAGAGUCCGGAAGAGGAGAGUGGAAUUUCCCGGUGUAGCGGUGAAAUGCGCAGAUAUCGGGAAGAACACCGGUGGCGAAGGCGG